Cyprinus carpio (common carp) is the source of this 412-nucleotide long non-coding RNA. RefSeq lists it as uncharacterized. The transcript is spliced from 3 exons. Lineage: Eukaryota; Metazoa; Chordata; Actinopteri; Cypriniformes; Cyprinidae. The record is from RefSeq and is a predicted model, not a curated record.
GACUGGAACUUCUGAGCACCAUCACCUUGUCUGCUUUGGGACUGUCAGCCCAGCAAUCAGAUGCAUCAGAACAACAAAGCACAACUGUGGUGGCCCAGGCACCUCCAGCAACAAGUAAAUUGCUUUAACAUGAAUGAUAAUGCAAUGUCAGUAUUGUAAUUAAACUUGACCCAUCUGACGUAAUUUUUAAUGCCAGAGAUUUAACAACAUUGUCAGUCAGGAUUAUUUUCAACAGGAGGCACACUUCAGCUGGCUUGAUAGUGACUUCAGUGCAGUGAGUACAGAAAGUACAGAAAGCCGUACAUCAUCUUUAGGUGCAGUGCUUACAGUGCAGCCAGCUUCACAAAGACUGUGGGUCUGGUCACCAGGGGAAAUGGACAAAGGGAGUGCUUUUUGGGGUUUUACUCCUCAG